RNAcentral lists this non-coding RNA (29 nucleotides) under Mus musculus (house mouse). Lineage: Eukaryota; Metazoa; Chordata; Mammalia; Rodentia; Muridae. The record is from RNAcentral.
UCCAUAUCAGGGUCCUGCCCCUGAGCAGC